AAUAUGUUUUAGGAAAAGUAAUGUUACGUUGGAGGUUGCGAAGUACAAAGAAGGAAAGGCCGUUGAUAUAAAGAUCAAUCCGGGAGGAAAACCACCUAAACACGUGAACCCAAAAUACGAAGUUUUGUAUGCUACGAAACACUGCAUUAUUACCGGUAACGUGCCGCAGCCAACGCUCAGAACAUACUGCACCUACUGGGUCAAAAAGAGCAAUGUGAAGAAUCGGUACUGGGCUUGUGACUUCAUAUUAGACCAUUUUUGCCGAAGCCCAGAAAUUGUCAUUAGGGAUACAAACAAGUGUUGGCCUGAAGGCAACGCAUAAAGAUAAGAAUGAACUACACCAAUAAAAUGAACGAUGUUGUUCAUUGUUAGCGAAAAGCCGAAAGCGUCCAGAUAACUCGCUUUAUUAAAGAA
Dermacentor andersoni is the source of this 414-nucleotide non-coding RNA. NCBI's taxonomy places the organism in Eukaryota, Metazoa, Arthropoda, Arachnida, Ixodida, Ixodidae. The record is from RefSeq and is a predicted model, not a curated record.